RNAcentral lists this ribosomal RNA (468 nucleotides) under uncultured bacterium. RNAcentral describes it as "partial 16S ribosomal RNA". It matches the Rfam family "Bacterial small subunit ribosomal RNA", at positions 28 to 507 of the family's 1533-position model. The record is from RNAcentral.
GACGAACGCUGGCGGCGUGCUUAACACAUGCAAGUCGAACGGAAAGGCCCUGCGCUUGUGGGGUGCUCGAGUGGCGAACGGGGGAGUAACACGUGAGUAACCUGACCUUGACUUUGGGAUAACUUCAGGAAACUGGGGCUAAUACCGGAUAGGAGCUCCUGCUGCAUGGUGGUGGUUGGAAAGUUUAGGCGGUUGGGGAUGGACUCGCGGCUUAUCAGCUUGUUGGUGGGGUAGUGGCUUACCAAGGCUUUGACGGGUAGCCGGCCUGAGAGGGUGACCGGGCACAUUGGGCCUGAGAUACGGACCAGUAUGCUACGGGAGGCAGCAGUGGGGAACAUUGCACAGUGGGCGGACGUCUGAUGCAGCAACGCUGCGUGCGGGAUGACGGGUUUCGGGGUGUAAACAGCUGUCGCCUGUGACGAGGCGUGAGUGACGGUAAUGGGUAAAGAAGCACCGGCUAACUACGUG